RNAcentral lists this ribosomal RNA (373 nucleotides) under uncultured organism. RNAcentral's name for it is "bacterial SSU rRNA". It matches the Rfam family "Bacterial small subunit ribosomal RNA", at positions 526 to 896 of the family's 1533-position model. The record is from RNAcentral.
CAGAGGUCCCAAGCGUUGUUCGGAUUCACUGGGCGUAAAGGGUGCGUAGGUGGUUGGGUAAGUUUGAUGUGAAAUCUCCGGGCUUAACCCGGAAACUGCAUUGAAUACUAUUUGACUAGAGGGUUGGAGGGGGGACUGGAAUACUUGGUGUAGCAGUGAAAUGCGUAGAUAUCAAGUGGAACACCAGUGGCGAAGGCGAGUCCCUGGACAACUCCUGACACUGAGGCACGAAAGCUAGGGGAGCAAACAGGAUUAGAUACCCUGGUAGUCCUAGCUGUAAACGGUGCGUAUUUGCUGUAAAAGGAAUCGACCCCUUUUGUGGCGUAGCUAACGCGAUAAAUACGCCGCCUGGGGAAGUACGGUCGCAAGAUUA